GGCGGCGCGUUUUAAGCAUGCAGUCGAACGGGAUUACAGAGCUUGCUCUGUAUGAGAGUGGCGAACGGGUGAGUAACACGUAGGUGAUCUACCCUGGGGAUGGGGAUAGCCUGUGGAAACACAGGGUAAUACCGGAUACGCCGAUUUUUCAAACCUUUGGGAAAUUGGGAAAGAUGCUAAGGCAUCGACCUGGGAUGAGCCUGCGGCUCAUUAGCUAGUUGGUGGGGUAAAGGCCUACCAAGGCGACGAUGGGUAGCCGGCCUGAGAGGGUGAACGGCCACACUGGGACUGAGAGACGGCCCAGACUCCUACGGGAGGCAGCAGCUAAGAAUCUUCCGCAAUGGGCGAAAGCCUGACGGAGCGACGCCGCGUGGAUGAAGAAGGCCGAAAGGUUGUAAAAUCCUUUUCUUGAUGAAGAAUAAAGGUGGGAGGGAAUGCCCACAAGAUGACGUUAGUCAAGGAAUAAGCCCCGGCUAAUUACGUGCCAGCAGCCGCGGUAACACGUAAGGGGCAAGCGUUGUUUGGAUUUAUUGGGCGUAAAGGGCGUGUAGGCGGUUGUCCAAGCCUGGUGUGAAAGGCUCUGGCUUAACCAGAGUUAGGCGCUGGGAACUGGGCGACUAGAGUUCAGGAGGGGAAGCUGGA
Molecule: ribosomal RNA, 642 nt
Filed under: uncultured Spirochaeta sp.
Lineage: Bacteria; Pseudomonadati; Spirochaetota; Spirochaetia; Spirochaetales; Spirochaetaceae
Description: bacterial SSU rRNA
Rfam family: Bacterial small subunit ribosomal RNA
Source: RNAcentral